Molecule: non-coding RNA, 148 nt
Filed under: Nomascus leucogenys (northern white-cheeked gibbon)
Lineage: Eukaryota; Metazoa; Chordata; Mammalia; Primates; Hylobatidae
Source: Rfam by way of RNAcentral
GCCAGGCACAGUGAUGUGCACCUGUAAUCCCAGCUACUUGGGAGGUGGAGAUGGGAGGAUCACUUGAGCCCAGGAGUUCAAGGCUGCCGUGAACUGUGAUCACACCACUACAGUCUAGCCUGGGCAACAGAGGGAGACCCUGUCUCAA